RNAcentral lists this non-coding RNA (28 nucleotides) under Homo sapiens (human). The record is from RNAcentral. Lineage: Eukaryota; Metazoa; Chordata; Mammalia; Primates; Hominidae.
AGCAUUCUUGUAGGGGCAUACACAGAAC